AUCAGAAACUGAACUAAAAAUCGGGAAAGGGUGUGUAGGAAAGGGCGGGGCUUGUAGUGCAGCGGUUUAUGGAUACAGAAAGACUGCGCGAGGAGGAGACGAGGAAGAACGCAAUUGUCAUUAGGAGUCCAUUGAUGAUGUUCGCUUUUGAAGCCUUGGAAUACCCCAGGACUUCAAAGAACCAUCUACAAGAGAAAGAGGAUUAACAGAAAUCAAAUCAAUACAGGAAUACCCCGCUAUACGGACCUUCACUUUACGGACACUCGCGAGUAUGGACAUAUUUACAGUAGCACCAUUCCCCUGUUUAUGUACGCUCGCUUUGCAAGAACGGACACUUAACGUCAUGAUGCCACCGCCCGAUCAGUUUCCAACUACAAACUUGGAAGGCCUACUGUGUUUAUUUUAGUUAUAAAUGCGUUAUUUACAUCAGUUAUGCCCGUAUAUGAUGAUUGCGGUGCAGUAUAUGCAUCGAUAAGUGAAAAAAGGUACUCUUCACUUUAAGUACAUUUUCGGUUUACGUACUCGCUCUGGACCCAUUGCAUACGUUAAUGCGGGGUAUUCCUGUAGUGUAUUUUGUGAAAUACUCUGUUCCAUAUCUUUAUUAUUGUAACAUGAUGUCCUCAAUCUUCCUGGCAGAUCCAAACUAAUGGAACCUUAGCAAUGAAGUAGCAGAUCUAAACUAGAUACAUGAAAACUCUAAAAGCAGACAGAGUUCAGCACCCACUCCAUUUUAGCCUGCAAGAAAAGGCAGGUGCUGGAAAAGUGAAAGUCACAUCCUGCCAAAUCUUAGCAUCAUAGCUUUGCCCCCUUCUCUCUCCACAUGCAAGUAGACAAAACAGACGUCGGGCAGAUGCCAACGUAAUGGGAGUUGGUAUUGUUGCUGUUCGGUAGCUCAGUUCUACACCACUCUGAUAAAGCAGGAAUAUAUUCUCUCCCCAUAAGAUUCCCCAAUCUAGGUUUCUUAUACUGACAUAGUUUUCCCUGUGUUGUCCCAUGCUUCCACACAGUUUCUGCAUUUUUACAUAACCAAAGGUGCAUGAAAUGGGAGUCGGAGAGAUGCUAUUCUAUAAUGUACAUACUGGCCCCAAAAUGAAGCCGGAUGGUACCCAGCACACCUAGCAGGUUUCUCUUGGGCUCUGCCUCAGGUUUGUUUACCCAGAGCCUCACACAUGGGCAGAGCUCACAAAGUGCAAGUGGGACAGACCUAUGUUAAAGUUCAUAUAUUCCUUUUUGUGCAUAUAAGCAUACAGUAGGGCCCCGCUUAUAUGGCGGGUUAGGGACCAGGCCCCCGCCAUAAAGCAGAAAUCGCCGUAAAGUGGAACCCAUUGAAUAUAAUGGGUCGCGUCACGCAAAAAUGACGUCAAAAUGCCGCAAAAUCAGCUUUAAAACAGGGAAUUUCCCCUAAUUGAAAGCUGCCGCAUCAGCGGAACGCCGGAAAACAGAACGCCGUAAAGCGGGGCCCUACUGUACCAUCUAUUCAAAAACUUUCAUACUAAACAACAGCUUCAGAAAAUUAUCCUCUAGUUAGAACUACCAAAUAAGUAGGAAGGAAGGCUUAGAUCUGGUUUAGCUGACAAAUAUUCUCCAACAAAUCAAUAAAAAAUGUUGCUUCCAA
Molecule: long non-coding RNA, 1615 nt
Organism: Rhineura floridana
Lineage: Eukaryota; Metazoa; Chordata; Lepidosauria; Squamata; Rhineuridae
Exons: 3
Source: RefSeq, a predicted model, not a curated record